RNAcentral lists this transfer RNA (74 nucleotides) under Streptomyces phage LukeCage. Its description in RNAcentral is "tRNA-Ala". It matches the Rfam family "tRNA". Rfam says of the family: Transfer RNA (tRNA) molecules are approximately 80 nucleotides in length. Their secondary structure includes four short double-helical elements and three loops (D, anti-codon, and T loops). Further hydrogen bonds mediate the characteristic L-shaped molecular structure. tRNAs have two regions of fundamental functional importance: the anti-codon, which is responsible for specific mRNA codon recognition, and the 3' end, to which the tRNAs corresponding amino acid is attached (by aminoacyl-tRNA synthetases). tRNAs cope with the degeneracy of the genetic code in two manners: having more than one tRNA (with a specific anti-codon) for a particular amino acid; and 'wobble' base-pairing, i.e. permitting non-standard base-pairing at the 3rd anti-codon position. The record is from RNAcentral. Lineage: Duplodnaviria; Heunggongvirae; Uroviricota; Caudoviricetes; Stanwilliamsviridae.
UGCUACGUAGCUUAAUAUGGCAAAGCAACUCUUGGCCAGAGUGUCAUGUGGUUCGAAUCCCAUCGUAGCAGCCA